Molecule: RNA transcript, 1412 nt
Organism: Balaenoptera acutorostrata (minke whale)
Lineage: Eukaryota; Metazoa; Chordata; Mammalia; Artiodactyla; Balaenopteridae
Gene: THEM4
Gene name: thioesterase superfamily member 4
Exons: 7
Source: RefSeq, a predicted model, not a curated record
GCCCUCCGCUCCCCUAAGUUAAAGAGGAAGAGCGGGCCAUUGGGUGGCUGGUUGGGUGAAUUGACCUCUGCCGCGGCCGCGAGCCAGCCGCCGCGCUUCCGGCGGCCGGAGCCCCGCGCACGCUCGGAGCCAUGCUGAGGAGCUGCACCGCGGCACUGCGCACGCUCCGGGCCCUACGCGGCAGGCGGGAAGGCGCGUCCCCCGCAGCGAGGGACCCGGUACUCGCGCGGAGGUGGUUUUCUACUGAGAAAGUCAUUCCUAAGGACCAUGCUCUCCCCAACCCCAGCUGGAGCAAGGACUUAAGACUCCUCUUUGACCAGUUCAUGAAGAAAUGUGAAGACGGCUCCUGGGAACGUUUGCCUUCAUAUAAAAACUCAAAGCUUGUGAAAGAACAACUGUCACAGGCCCAGCUCUUCACCAGAGGCUAUGAGGAUGGCCUGGGCUUUGAAUAUGUGAUCUUCUAUAACGAUGAUGAGAAAAGGACAGUUUGCUUGUUUCAAGGAGGUCCUUAUCUGCAAGGAGUACCUGGAUUCCUUCAUGGAGGUGCCAUUGCAACAAUGAUUGAUGCUACUGUUGGUAUGUGUGCAGCUAUACCUGGGGGAAUUGUCAUGACUGCCAAUCUCAACAUCAAUUUUAAAAGACCUAUCCCUCUUUGUUCUGUUGUUGUGAUAAAUAGCCAACUUGAUAAAAUUGAGGGGAGGAAAUUGUUUCUUUCUUGUAAUGUUCGAAGUGUUGAUGAGAAGAUCCUGUACUCAGAGGCAACAGGUCUUAGUUGCAGCAUGCGGGAUCUAGUUCCCUGACCAGGGAUCGAACCCGGCCCCCUGCUUUGGGAGCAUGGAGUCUUAACCACUGGACCACGAGGGAAGUCCCUUUUUGUUGUUUUUAUUUUUUAUUUUAAUGGACCUCAGAUGCACAUGUUUCGGUUACUCAGAAUCCUUGAUUUAGGAUACACAGCUAUUAUUGGCUUAUUUAUAAAGCUGGAUCCUGAAAAAAGUUUGACAUAAAAGAGCUUCUGGUGAAUUCCACACCAAUCUGCGUAAGGCUCUCCCUCCUCCAGAAGAAGCAGUUGUCUUCAGUCCUGUUCUACUCAUCCACUGUUAAAUCCCCCAUCAGGUGAAGCCUGCUAACACGGACCUUCCUAAACAAGUCUUUUGAAUACAAUUGAAGGAGCUCCAUUUCCACCUUCCAAACUUUUUUACACAGAGACACUCCCUGUGAGAGUAUCAGCAGUUCUUUCUGUCUCCUUUGGAUAAGUGUCUGGUUCUCCUAAAAUUUGAAUAGGCUCCUUAAGUUUGCAUAGGUGUGAUGUCUGAUCCAUUGCAUUCUGGAGAAAAAAAUCAUGUUGAAACUUUUACCACAAACUUGGAAAUGCCAGAAAACCAAAGGAAGGAAUAAAUAUGUGAGUGCACGAA